GAUAGCUCAGUUGGUAGAGCGGUGGACUGUAGAGGAAAUAUAAAUAAUAGCAGUAAUCCAUAGGUCGCUGGUUCAAACGGUUGUGUCUG
RNAcentral lists this transfer RNA (89 nucleotides) under Caligus rogercresseyi. Its description in RNAcentral is "tRNA-Tyr". Lineage: Eukaryota; Metazoa; Arthropoda; Copepoda; Siphonostomatoida; Caligidae. The record is from RNAcentral.